RNAcentral lists this ribosomal RNA (403 nucleotides) under uncultured bacterium. RNAcentral describes it as "partial 16S ribosomal RNA". It matches the Rfam family "Bacterial small subunit ribosomal RNA", at positions 30 to 526 of the family's 1533-position model. The record is from RNAcentral.
AUUGAACGCUGGCGGCAGGCCUAACACAUGCAAGUCGAGCGAGCGGCGGACGGGUGCGUAAUGUAUUGGGACUGCCCGAUAGAGGGGGAUACCUACUGGAAACGGUAGCUAAUACCGCAUACUAUCGGAUAACCCAUAUCGGAUUAGCUAGUUGGUGGGGUAAAGGCUCACCAAGGCAACGAUCCGUAGCUGGUUUGAGAGGACGACCAGCCACAAUGGGAAUGAGACACGGCCCAGACUCCUACGGAGGCAGCAGUGGGGAAUUUUGGACAAUGGGGGAAACCCUGAUCCAGACAUCCCGCGUGUAUGAUGAAGGCCUUCGGGUUGUAAAGUCCUUUUGGCAGAGAAGCGGUAUCUGCAGAAUAAGCACCGGCUAACUACGUGCCAGCAGACGAGGUAAUAC